Molecule: ribosomal RNA, 447 nt
Filed under: uncultured bacterium
Lineage: Bacteria
Description: partial 16S ribosomal RNA
Rfam family: Bacterial small subunit ribosomal RNA
Source: RNAcentral
CCUACGGGUGGCUGCAGUUUCGAAUCCUUCACAAUGGGCGAAAGCCUGAUGGUGCGACGCCGCGUGAGGGAUGAAGGUCUUCGGAUUGUAAACCUCUGUCACCGGGGAAGAAACGCUUCAAGUUAAUAGUUUGAAGCCUGACUUAACCCGGAGAGGAAGCAGUGGCUAACUCUGUGCCAGCAGCCGCGGUAAUACAGAGACUGCAAGCGGCGUACGGAGUCACUGGGCGUACAGGGUUCGCAGGCGGCCAAGCCCGGAGCUUAACUCCGGAAUUGCUCCUCAAACUACAUGGCUAGAGCAUUGGAGAGGGUAGCAGAAUUCACGGUGUAGCAGUGAAAUGCGUAGAUAUCGUGAGGAAUACCAGAGGCGAAGGCGGCUACCUGGACAAUUGCUGACGCUCAGGCACGAAAGCGUGGGGAGCAAAAGGGAUUAGAUACCCCUGUAGUC